GGGUAUGUAGGCAAACUGGUAACCCCACCAGACUGUAAAUCUGGCGCCUCGGCACUGUUGGUUCGACUCCAUCCAUGCCCACCA
Molecule: transfer RNA, 84 nt
Filed under: Saprospiraceae bacterium
Lineage: Bacteria; Pseudomonadati; Bacteroidota; Saprospiria; Saprospirales; Saprospiraceae
Description: tRNA-Tyr
Rfam family: tRNA
About the family: Transfer RNA (tRNA) molecules are approximately 80 nucleotides in length. Their secondary structure includes four short double-helical elements and three loops (D, anti-codon, and T loops).
Source: RNAcentral